Molecule: long non-coding RNA, 1835 nt
Filed under: Astyanax mexicanus (Mexican tetra)
Lineage: Eukaryota; Metazoa; Chordata; Actinopteri; Characiformes; Acestrorhamphidae
Description: lncRNA (ENSAMXG00005007086.1)
Source: RNAcentral
CAGAAGUGUCGCCAUGUGGUGGUGGGGGGCGGUAAGUAAGUUAAGUAAAGCUGAGUUAAGCAAACAAAACUGUAAUUCUGAAAAGAAAAAAAAAACGAUUGCUGGAUGUUAAUCUACACAGAUUUAUGCUGAUUCUUACAGGCUAAUGCUAAUGCUGCUGCACCUAGCCUUAAUGCUGGAGAAACUUUACUGGCUUUACUGCUCCUUAAUACCUGACUGGUAGAAUUCAUACAUAAGGAGCACCGACCAUGUUUGGGGAAAUUACAGGAUUUUAAAUGCGCUUUAAAAAAUAAAAGAUAUGGCAUGCACUUUUUAAAGUGUAUUUUAACAUUUAAUGCUUAAAUGUUGUUUAUUUGCUAUAUAUGUUUUUAUAUAUUUUUUUUUUCUUCCAGGUAAAAGUCCAAUAAACUUUAAGUAUGAUUUUGUGGAGGUCAUCCAGAACCCUCAGCCGGGCUACGCUGUGUAUAAAAGCAGACCUCCUGCAGGAGGGAAUGUGACUCUGCUGGUGUCGUUGCUGGGCUCGGGGUCGGGUCUGAUCUCAGAACUGGUUCUGGUGGACUCGUCGGGCUCCGGGCUCUAUAAAGGCAGUCUGGAGGAUCAGGGCAGUGGAGAUUAUCUGGUGACGGUGGAAACAGCGCCGAAGGGAGAUUUCUACAUACGGAUCACCGGCCAGUUCAACUCCUCCACCAGCUCCAAAUUCCAGAGACAAUCCUCCACCCGAUACAGAGCCUGCACCAUCUCCAUCACUGCUGUGAGGAAUGGAUCGUGGUUUGCAGGGCAGAAUUUCAGCGUCCCGUUCACCGUGGUGACGAACAGCAGCCUGAGGGAAUACGCCGUCACCGUCAGGAACAGCGGCCGGUACAACAUGACCUUCCCCACCUCCCUGACAGCAGGGGGCGACAGCACCGCUAACGGCACGGUGAUGCUCAGCGCCCCGGCUAACGCCACCGCCGGCACAGAGGUCAUCCUCACCAUCGAGGUGACUCAACUGGGCACCAACGACACCAACUACGCCUUCCUGAGACUCGCUGUGUCCGGGGCAGUGGCGCCCCCUGCUGGCCUGGAGCUCAGUCUGUGGAUCAGUGCGCUGACUACAGUGCUCAUCAGCCUCCUCAAUCAGUAGAUCAGUAGAGUUUUAAUAGCUGGAAAGUGACUUUAUUAGUGUCUUUAUUUUAGUUAAAAUAGAUUAAAUAGAUGAGUAGAAAUGCUCUAAAAGGAUUUGGAGUUGGAUGUUGCAUUGCAUAAUUUUAAAACAACUCUACAAAACAAUGCAGUGCAAACUUUGGUAAAUCCAAAGUUCUUUUAGCAUCUUUUACCAGAUUAGCAUUCUUUGAGCUCAUAACCUUACUGAACCUAGACCUGCAUACCAACUGCAGCAACCUCAGAUUAUCAUAGCUCCGCCCCCACAGGCUUGUACAGUAGCACUAGGGGCAUGAUGGGUAAUCACUUCUUAGUACAGCCGCCUCACUUUUGACCCUUUAUAAUCUCUAGUAAACUGAAGCUGUUUUUAUUGAUUAAUCUCACUGAUAAGAUCUUUUCUAAAAGAUACACAGCUUUAGUUUAGUCCCUUAAAUCCCUUCAGUUCCUUCACUGCAUUGUGUGCGAGUGGUAAAGCUCUUACCUUCACUAUUCCACAACAUAUCCCUGAGGAGUUCUAGUGCUGAUAUUCUACCAUUUGUAUGAUUUCACCAAAUGUUUAAGUGAUCAUGUGCCGUUCAGUAUCAUUCAAGAUUUUUUUCCCGAUUACAUUCUUUCCCGGAAGAUGAUGUUUCUCCACUGUUUUUUCACUGUUUAAUAAUAAUAAAGCGUUGGACAGCUCUUAACCUGAUUUUAGC